Molecule: ribosomal RNA, 467 nt
Filed under: uncultured bacterium
Lineage: Bacteria
Description: partial 16S ribosomal RNA
Rfam family: Bacterial small subunit ribosomal RNA
Source: RNAcentral
UGGGAAUUUUGGACAAUGGGCGAAAGCCUGAUCCAGCAAUGCCGCGUGUGUGAAGAAGGCCUUCGGGUUGUAAAGCACUUUUGUCCGGAAAGAAAUCCUUGGCUCUAAUACAGUCGGGGGAUGACGGUACCGGAAGAAUAAGCACCGGCUAACUACGUGCCAGCAGCCGCGGUAAUACGUAGGGUGCAAGCGUUAAUCGGAAUUACUGGGCGUAAAGCGUGCGCAGGCGGUUUGCUAAGACCGAUGUGAAAUCCCCGGGCUCAACCUGGGAACCGCAUUGGUGACUGGCAGGCUAGAGUAUGGCAGAGGGGGGUAGAAUUCCACGUGUAGCAGUGAAAUGCGUAGAGAUGUGGAGGAAUACCGAUGGCGAAGGCAGCCCCUGGGCCAAUACUGACGCUCAUGCACGAAAGCGUGGGGAGCAAACAGGAUUAGAUACCCUGGUAGUCCACGCCCUAAACGAUGUCAAC